Long non-coding RNA from Passer domesticus (house sparrow), 3717 nucleotides. RefSeq lists it as uncharacterized. The transcript is spliced from 4 exons. The record is from RefSeq and is a predicted model, not a curated record. NCBI's taxonomy places the organism in Eukaryota, Metazoa, Chordata, Aves, Passeriformes, Passeridae.
CUUCCAGCCGGGCUUUGCCCAGUGGGCUGCCUUCGCCAGGAUAGCUCAGUGGGCUGAGCACAGCACCCAAGCUCCCAAGUAACUUCCAGCCACAGGCAACCUUAGGCAAGCUCAAGUGAUAUCAGCUCUUAGUGAUUAUCAGCUCUUUGUGAUUUCAGCUCUUUAGCUUGCUGGUGCCUCAGCAGAUGCCGGGACAGAGAGGAGAAGCGCUGUGUGAGGUUCCAAAGAAUUCUUUAUUGGUGACUGCCACGAAGGUUCUCAGUGACAGCUCUUCUGCUGAACCAGGCAGGAGUAGGGCUUUAUAUACCUUACAGGGGUUUUGGAAAUUGUCCAAUAGUAAGGGCCAGGGGAAAGUGACCUUUAGGCUCACAGAGAGAUAAGCAGGGUCCAAAAGGCAGAAGAGAGGGGCUGGUAAGGCCCAGCCAUCAUGACUUGGCAUUUCCUAGCUCUGGCUUCUGACCUCCAGGGAGGCCUUGCAGCCCCUGGGCCUGCUACAGAAGAGUACAAAGCUGCUUUCCUACAGAUCAUGUCACAGUUAGAUUGUAUCACAUGUUCAUCUUGCCAGCCUCUCUGAGCUGUGGCUGUUUUGAGGCAGCAAUAGUGAUAUCUGGUCUUAAAGGGCUGAUGAAGCCAACCACCCAGCUGCACUUGCAUUGCAGAGUAGAUGAUAUAUUGCAGGACCACUUGGUGUCUUUGACAGGUUUUAAGUGGGGCUAAUGUAUAAAGAGCAAAUGUUCUUAUCACACCUAGACCAAAUAUGUGAGAGGUCUGUGCUAGUUCUUGUAAAUAUGUGACUGCUCUGAAAUCUCAUCUGAGGAACAGAACCAGCCCAAGCACCCUGUGAACCACAGCAUCGUGCACCUACCCUGCCUUUGAUCCAGUGUUACCCUUUUUCUACAGCACAGCUCCAAGCACAGUGAUAGCUCAGUUAAGCAAUAGUAAUAUAAAUGUUCAUUGCAUCCAUGUCAAUUCCAGGAGUAGGCAUUCGAAUACAAGAGGAUACUAAUAUUUUUCACAUAUAAUUCAAAUGCUUGAGACUUUAAAAUGUCUAUAUGACCUGUGCUCACACUUGAACAAAGGCAGAGUAGGAGUUUCUAUAAUUUCCAAGUUUUAUUCCUGCAACUGAAAAAAGCUACAGGAAUGCUGAAGUUAAAUAACUGAAUCAAGAAUACUAACUUGCUGCCAAAUAAUCAGGGCUGCUCACAAGGUUAAAACACCUCAUUUGAUGUGGCCUCUGUUUCCUCACCUAACUGCAGCAGAGCUGGGAAGACUGAAAUAAUCUUCAUUUUACAGAUGAGAGAGGAAGUGGCCUACCCAUACCACCACUCAGCUGGGAGAAGCAAACUGGUGUGCAAUAUCUGUCCAACAGGCCAUACACCAAGGACAACUUCAUUAUGAGAUGUAUUUGAAAUAUUUUAAGAAGCUGUGUGGUUGCAGGAGGAAAAGCCACUUUCCUACUGAAAGAGGAGGCUGGGAGGUUUCAUUGAAAUAGAGAACUUUAAAGUGCGGCUGACUGUGACUGAUGGAUGAGAUGGAUUGUAGCAGAACUGUGUUUUUCUAUGGCUAAUCCUUUUGCUGCUCUUUGUUAAUACCUAGAGUUUUGUAAACCUGAGUGUUCUGCUUGCACAUUGCUUGUUCCAUGCCCCUUUAUUAAAAAUGACACCCUUCUCUUACUCGUUUUUGUCUAUUCAAAAUGAAGAGUUACUUUUUUGUCUUCAGCUUGUCACUGUGAUUCCUCUUUUCUUUUUCAAUUGUACCAAUUUUAAACUAAGAAAGUGCAGCAAAAAUAACUUAUCUGCCUGUAAACUCUUCCAUACCACAAAAGUCAUGUCCAAACUAUAACUUUAAAAUGGAAAAAUGACCUUGAUAUGCCUUUCUGUUUCCCCGUUUCCCUUUCCUAUUUUACAAUACCUUUUUAUUUAAUUUCUACAUUACAUUCUUCCUCUGCCAAUUUGUGGACUUAAAGUUAGAUUCACAAAAUGACUUAGGCAUCGUCUGGAAGGCACUGUGACCUCACUGUCAUGCUUGGUACAGCUCAGGUUGUGCCUUCAUGCCAUGAAUGACCUGGCUCCUAUAGACCUGGCUGUGGGCAGGGGUCAAACGGGCUAAAGGUCUGACCUGUUACAUAUAGCUCUGAGGAAAAGCUUAUGGGAGUGCUACACUCCCUGCUGCACCUUUGGAGAAAGUGGUGCUUAGCUCUUCCAAAUGGGUUUGCUGGGAGCUGUGUGUCCAAACUGAUAGCGUGGGACAGGUUUUGUCCCAUUUUUGUCUAAUGCUCCAGUGAGUACAAUACUUCCCUAGGAUACAGGCUGUCCAGGUUUCUCUUUGUUUCUUCCUUAAGAAGACUGGAGUCAAUAUUUUUCCCCUCUCACAAUACUGUCAUCAGCACCAGGAACUUGCAGGAGACUUCCUCUGAUGAGGCUUAUAGCCUUAUUGCUCCCCUCCUGAGACAAUUCCUUCAUCACCUAGGUAUUAGGGACCAGUUUAGAUACCUCUGUAAAGCAUGUCUCCAGGAUGAAGCAUCUCCUAGGUUAAGCAGAAGCUGAGUGAGAUUUAAAAUUAGCUUUGGAGAGUUAGAUGGUUUUACAGAUUUAUCCUUUUCUUUCUUUAAAAUUGUUCACUUUAUCCUCAAUUCUAGCUUCAUCACUAUUGUGUGGGUUCACCAAUUACUAGUCCAUGGUGCAGAAUUCUUCUUUUUUCGAGCCAUUAUUUCAUUCACAAUCACACUGGCUUUUAAAGACACCAUGGCUUUGUCAUUAUGCAGUGUUAAAGUCAAUGUUGAUUAAUUCAACCUAGCAUACACUUUCCAGGAUUUCACAAAGAAAAUGACAGUGGGUCUUUAAACAGGGUAGGCAGUUUGAACUAUAAACUCUAAGCUGUGAAGCUUAACUAGCUCACCACCUUUUAUGUUGCUGCCUUCUAUACACCCAGAAAAAGGGAGACUAUCAACCAUCACAGUCUAGCAAUGCACCUGGUGCAGGCCGAACUGAAGAUUUCUUUUAAAUUUUCUCCCUUUAAAGACAAGGUUAAAUUGUCUUUUCCACACACACCCACAUACACACCCCCUUAUCCAAAAAUGACACUAGUUUUCUCUUUGGAACAUAUCAGAUGCACGGCUUUAGGUGGAAUGAAAACAUUUUGGAACACUGUGUUAAAUUUGCCUUUCCAGUACUGUGUAUUGGAAAUAGUGUCCUCUCUGCCAGAACACUAUGGCACUAUGGUAUAAAUAAAAGAUUGUAAAUUAUUGCUGCCUAAUGUUAUUAGCAAUAGAUUUUGCCAUGGGGAAGAAGUUGUCGAGUCAAAUCUCCUGUCCUAAUUGUUAAUUAUUGUUGUUCUUGUCUAAAAUAAAUUCUGUUAUGAGACCAGGCAGCUUUAUUCAGUUAAAAUGUUCCAGGACAAUUCAACACCAAUCACAUUUAAAAAUAAACAUUCAAUAAGACAAUGAAGAACUAUACAGUAGCAUAUUUAGUGCAUGUUUUUCCUCUUGAUCUCCAAACAGUGUUUUCUUGCAUUCCCUGUCUUUUAAAUACAAAUAUUGUGUUGAUGGAAGCUGUUCAUUUGAGUGUCCUAGGGAAUGAACUCUGCUUCUGUAGAUGAGUUAGUAAUGCAUGCUUUCUGCACAUGAACAAAUCAUUGUUUAUAAAGCCCUGCAAAAGCAAUCUGGUAUUCAUUUGGUAAGAAAGCUUAGUUGCAAACUGGUUGUAAUCCUGACUUUAA